GCCCCCAACCAACAAAAACCCGAGCCCUUAAGCUUUCGGCGUCGCCGUCAACCCUCGCCGAGACCCCGAUGUCAUUUUUCCUACUACCGGCGGCCAAGGUCCGGUCUUUCUUCACCCCGUGUGUGUGUUUGCGGCGGAGGCGGUGAUCCCGAUGGGCGCCGCGCUGCCUGGGAGAGGAGCGGGAGCAGGGGGGUUGCGGCGAGCGGUACCCGUCGUGGUGCGUGAGCCGGGAGGAGAUCGAUCGAGCGCGGCCAAGGAGGCCGAGCUCCGGGCCACCUACUGCUCCUUCAUCCGCGACGUCUGCAUCAGGCUCCAAUUGUCCUCUUUCUCCUCCGCCAGUCUCACGCCAAGAACGAGUGGCAGACAUUGAUGAUGGUAAUAGUAAUAAGCAGCUGCGGGGGCGCUGCUGCUCGUGCGGUGAAGAAGACCCGCCGCAGACGACCAAUGCCAAUGCCACCGCACAAUCGUUAAG
This is a long non-coding RNA of Sorghum bicolor (sorghum), 472 nucleotides long. RefSeq lists it as uncharacterized. NCBI's taxonomy places the organism in Eukaryota, Viridiplantae, Streptophyta, Magnoliopsida, Poales, Poaceae. The transcript is spliced from 3 exons. The record is from RefSeq and is a predicted model, not a curated record.